CUUGCUGGGCUGGAUGAGUGGCGAACGGGUGAGUAACACGUGAGUAACCUGCCCUCUUCUUUGGGAUAACGGUCGGAAACGGCUGCUAAUACCGGGUAUUCACUGUCCUUCGCAUGGGGGGUGGUGGAAAGGUUUUUUCUGGUGGGGGAUGGGCUCGCGGCCUAUCAGCUUGUUGGUGGGGUGAUGGCUUACCAAGGCUUUGACGGGUAACCGGCCUGAGAGGGUGACCGGUCACAUUGGGACUGAGAUACGGCCCAGACUCCUACGGGAGGCAGCAGUGGGGAAUAUUGCACAAUGGGCGAAAGCCUGAUGCAGCGACGCCGCGUGAGGGAUGAAGGCCUUCGGGUUGUAAACCUCUUUCGCUCAUGGUCAAGCCGCAACUUUGGGUUGUGGUGAGGGUAGUGGGUAAAGAAGCACCGGCUAACUACGUGCCAGCAGCCGCGGUAAUACGUAGGGUGCGAGCGUUGUCCGGAAUUAUUGGGCGUAAAGGGCUUGUAGGCGGUUUGUCGCGUCUGCCGUGAAAUCCUCUGGCUUAACUGGGGGCGUGCGGUGGGUACGGGCAGACUUGAGUGCGGUAGGGGAGACUGGAACUCCUGGUGUAGCGGUGGAAUGCGCAGAUAUCAGGAAGAACACCGGUGGCGAAGGCGGGUCUCUGGGCCGUUACUGACGCUGAGGAGCGAAAGCGUGGGGAGCGAACAGG
Molecule: ribosomal RNA, 700 nt
Filed under: uncultured Actinomyces sp.
Lineage: Bacteria; Bacillati; Actinomycetota; Actinomycetes; Actinomycetales; Actinomycetaceae
Description: bacterial SSU rRNA
Rfam family: Bacterial small subunit ribosomal RNA
Source: RNAcentral